This 447-nucleotide ribosomal RNA is filed under the name uncultured bacterium. RNAcentral describes it as "bacterial SSU rRNA". It matches the Rfam family "Bacterial small subunit ribosomal RNA", at positions 329 to 793 of the family's 1533-position model. The record is from RNAcentral.
CGCCAGACUCCUACGGGAGGCAGCAGUGGGGAAUAUUGCACAAUGGGGGAAACCCUGAUGCAGCGACGCCGCGUGAGCGAUGAAGUAUUUCGGUAUGUAAAGCUCUAUCAGCAGGGAAGAAAAUGACGGUACCUGACUAAGAAGCCCCGGCUAACUACGUGCCAGCAGCCGCGGUAAUACGUAGGGGGCAAGCGUUAUCCGGAUUUACUGGGUGUAAAGGGAGCGUAGACGGCUGUGCAAGCCAGAUGUGAAAGCCCGGGGCUCAACCCCGGGACUGCAUUUGGAACUGUGUGGCUGGAGUGUCGGAGAGGCAGGCGGAAUUCCUAGUGUAGCGGUGAAAUGCGUAGAUAUUAGGAGGAACACCAGUGGCGAAGGCGGCCUGCUGGACGAUGACUGACGUUGAGGCUCGAAAGCGUGGGGAGCAAACAGGAUUAGAUACCCCCGUAU